Molecule: long non-coding RNA, 406 nt
Organism: Diceros bicornis minor
Lineage: Eukaryota; Metazoa; Chordata; Mammalia; Perissodactyla; Rhinocerotidae
Exons: 3
Source: RefSeq, a predicted model, not a curated record
UGCAGGAGGAGCUGGACGAGCUGAAGGGAGGGGCUCCCUAACUGAGCAGCCUGCUGCCCCCAGCCGAGUUUGGUGGCAGCAGUGGGAUCCAAAGGAGACGCCUGAUGGCUUCGAGGAUGAGAAACAGUCAUUGGUACCAGCAAAACCUUUGAGUUCUCCAUCUUUUUCACUGUUUCUGAGGGCUGUGGGAGUUCGAGAUCCUGAAGAACUUCUUCUCGUCCUGCACUGUCAACUCUGCUCUGCAGAAAACCUUCACAAGCCACCUGAAGAACACACGGGGGAAGUUUCCCGGUGGGUAGGCCUCUCUCCAUAGGAGGACCAGGGUGGAUGGGGGAUCUCUUGUAUGUCUGCCAUUGGCCCCUCAGUCAGCUGGGAACUCCUGGGAGGCAGCAAAUGCUGGGGACAG